Molecule: ribosomal RNA, 480 nt
Filed under: Aeromicrobium sp.
Lineage: Bacteria; Bacillati; Actinomycetota; Actinomycetes; Propionibacteriales; Nocardioidaceae
Description: bacterial SSU rRNA
Rfam family: Bacterial small subunit ribosomal RNA
Source: RNAcentral
ACGGGUAGCCGGCCUGAGAGGGUGACCGGCCACACUGGGACUGAGACACGGCCCAGACUCCUACGGGAGGCAGCAGUGGGGAAUAUUGGACAAUGGGCGAAAGCCUGAUCCAGCAACGCCGCGUGAGGGAUGACGGCCUUCGGGUUGUAAACCUCUUUCAGCAGGGACGAAGCGAAAGUGACGGUACCUGCAGAAGAAGGACCGGCCAACUACGUGCCAGCAGCCGCGGUAAUACGUAGGGUCCGAGCGUUGUCCGGAAUUAUUGGGCGUAAAGGGCUCGUAGGCGGUCUGUCGCGUCGGUAGUGAAAACUCAGGGCUUAACCCUGAGCGUGCUUCCGAUACGGGCAGACUAGAGGUAUGCAGGGGAGAACGGAAUUCCUGGUGUAGCGGUGGAAUGCGCAGAUAUCAGGAGGAACACCGGUGGCGAAGGCGGUUCUCUGGGCAUUACCUGACGCUGAGGAGCGAAAGCAUGGGGAGCGA